Molecule: ribosomal RNA, 252 nt
Filed under: uncultured bacterium
Lineage: Bacteria
Description: partial 16S ribosomal RNA
Rfam family: Bacterial small subunit ribosomal RNA
Source: RNAcentral
GAUCAUGGCUCAGGAUGAACGCUAGCGGCGGGCUUAACACAUGCAAGUCGAGGGGCAGCGGGGAGUAGCAAUACUCCGCCGGCGACCGGCGCACGGGUGCGUAACGCGUAUGCAACCUACCUUUAACAGGGGCAUGACACUGAGAAAUUGGUACUAAUUCCCCAUAACAUUCGAGAAGGCAUCUUCUUGGGUUAAAAACUCCGGUGGUUAAAGAUGGGCAUGCGUUGUAUUAGCUAGUUGGUGAGGUAACGG